Molecule: ribosomal RNA, 424 nt
Filed under: uncultured bacterium
Lineage: Bacteria
Description: bacterial SSU rRNA
Rfam family: Bacterial small subunit ribosomal RNA
Source: RNAcentral
UAGGGAAUAUUGGUCAAUGGGCGCAAGCCUGAACCAGCCAUGCCGCGUGCAGGAUGAAGGCUCUCUGAGUUGUAAACUGCUUUUGUACAGGAACAAAAAAAUCCCUGCGGGGAUUCUUGAGGGUACUGUAAGAAUAAGCACCGGCUAAUUCCGUGCCAGCAGCCGCGGUAAUACGGAAGGUGCAAGCGUUAUCCGGUUUUAUUGGGUUUAAAGGGUGCGUAGGCGGCUUAUUAAGUCAGUUGUGAAAUCCUAGUGCUUAACACUAGAACUGCGAUUGAUACUGAUAGGCUUGAGUCAAGAAGAGGUAAGUAGAAUUUAUGGUGUAGUAGUGAAAUGCUUAGAUAUCAUAAGGAAUACCAAUAGCGUAAGCAGCUUACUGGUCUUGAACUGACGCUGAGGCACGAAAGCGUGGGGAGCAAACAGG